Molecule: long non-coding RNA, 12052 nt
Filed under: Homo sapiens (human)
Lineage: Eukaryota; Metazoa; Chordata; Mammalia; Primates; Hominidae
Description: HSALNT0047135
Source: RNAcentral
UUUUUAGUAAAAGGAAUUCCAUCAGUUCAUUUGGAGUCUGAUCAAUGCUGGGCGAACAGAUUAAAUUCUCUUUAGAGUAGCAAAUCUUAGGACUAUAAGCUGAAGUAGAACUAGAAAGUCCAGCCAUACCUAAGUCCAAGCUAGCCACUCUGGUCCUUUUCUCUGUUGUAUUCCAUUAAAGACCCUGAUAUCUGGGACUAGAGUUCCUGAGCACUCUAUACCCAUGACCUGGUCUGGAAGCAGCUCUUCUUAGCUGUCCUAUCAUGCCACAGUAACUCCGGGUCUCUGAGACAAGUGUCCUGAAACUCUUGAGUUCUCACAUGCCCUUUCAUCUUUCCCUCUUUUUUGAUCAAUCCAACCAAUUCAUGGCUUCCUGUUGAAUGUUAUUUUAUAAUAAUAUGGUUUAUGUUAUUAACACUCUUUAAUGUUAUUCAAGCCCAUCUUCUAUCAUGUCAUUGCUUAAAAAGCCUCAACAGUUCCUUAGGGUCAAGCCCACUGUGUGUGAGCUUCUUAACUGGGCAUUUAGAAUCCUCUCCAAUAUCCUCCACUACCUAUGAUUUAUAUUUUAGCCAAAAUGGACCCUUUAUAAUCUUGAACUUCAUUGCAUGUCUGCACUUCUAUACCAGUGCUGAAUCCCAAACUGAAAUCUGGUUCAUAUUUCAUGAAACAGCUGGUUUUUACACCCACAUCUUGAAAUCUCUUUCUAUUCCCUCACCUAGAUACAAACUCUUCAAGGGGCCAGUAGAGUAUAGUGGCUAAAAUCUUGGAUUCUAAAACCCAGCUGUCAAGGUUCAAAUCCCAGCCACACCAUGUGCUGACUGUGAGAUCAUAUACAAGUCUCUUUUCACUUCACAUCUGUUUCCUUAUCUGGAAAAUCAAGAAUAUUAAUCAGAUAUUAAAUGAGAUAAUAUACAUUUAAUCUAGUCCGUGGAACCCUGUAAGCAUGCAGCAACUGCGAGCUAUUAUGGCAGAUGCUGUUGCUAGCCCACCCACAUCCUCUUGGUAUUUGUCUCUACAUUCUCAACCUGUUUAUAGAAAACAUUCGUGACUCUCUGUAGUCAAGAUAGCAUGCUCAGCUCUCAUACAGGGCAGAGCAGAAGUUUCUGAGAUGUAAUCAGUCUCCCAAGAAGCGACACUCAGACAAUGACCAAUGGAGAGUCAGUGGAUGAAUACCCCUUGUUAGGAAUAACUCUGAACCCUAUUCUAGAGUGUGGACAGCAUAGAAUCUCUUAUUGUCUCCCAGACUUCCCCAGCAGGCUGUAACAUCAGUUGCCCGCAAUGGUAAUUGGCUUGGCAGAUACCUUCUGUCAGCUCCUUUGCCUUCCCUAACUUACUCUCCACUCUCUUUUAUGUAUUUCCUGGGAUCGUUUCCCAAAACUACUUGGAUUCUUGUCUCCGGGUUGGCUUCUGGAGGACUCUAAAACCAUAACUGCUCUUAUCACUACAGCUGACUUCUUUGAAACCAUGAAAAUACUGCUUUAUUUGCAUUCGUCUUCUGCUAGUUAGAGUCUACCUUCAUAAAACCUAAAAUCCAACAAAAAAUUAAGACCAAAAUACAAAUAUUUCUCACAGUACCUCUCACAUAGAAGUUACUCAAUCUGUAUUUAGAGAGCAAAGAAUAAUGGGAGAUCAAAAGAUUACUCUGUGACUAUAAAAAUAGAGCGAGGACUAUUGAUUGGUUACUAAGAAUAUUUUACAAACUUUUAUGGUUUGACACACCCUUUUAAUGGUGGUAUGUCUACCUAAUAUAUCUGCACCUUCCCAAAAUCCCCUCCCCUCGAUGUCAGCAUCAGGACUCCCCUCCUCCUCUAGCUAGAUUUGAGAGACACUUGCCAUUAUCUCAUCAUUAUUUUAUCAUGUUAAUGUACUUGUGUAACCUUUUAUAUUUUCUAAAUAUGAAAAAUAUUUUACAGAGAUUACAUUUGACGCAGCUGCUUCCUGAAGACCUAGAGAUCACUUUAAUCUUACAAGCACAUUCUUCAGAUUGUCGUGUGGGUGGGUAACUUCCGCCAGACUUUUCUGGAGAUGGCUAAUCCAGCCGUGGGAUGUGGUUUCUUCUAACAGCCAGUCAGGAAAAUCUUGCUUCUCAAACUCCUGUCUUGACCCCUUCCUGAACUUUGCCUCCUGGAUCUUGAGGUCUGCCUUCUGUGGAAGAGAAAUACUAGAAUCAAUGAACUGUGAACUAGAGCCCUGGGAUUAUCAACAGCUGAAAUUUUGAGAGCCACCUUAUAGAAAGCCUAACAGCAAAGACUGGAGAGAGGCUUCCAGCCAACAGCCAGCAAGGAAUUGAAGCCCUCAGUCCAAUAGCAGUGAGGAAUUGAAUCCUGCCAACAGCCUCGUGGAUGGGUUGCUUGCUGCCUGAAUCUAACUCCUGCUACUACUGCAAAUACCACUGCCAUGAAUAUCCUCAGCAAGACCCCCUUCCAGACCUGCAUGAACAGUUGUGUGAAAUACCGACUGCUUCAUGCUGGGCUUCAGACAUGAGAGGCUAGGAGUAGGAGGCAUGCCUUGUUCAAAGGUCUUAAAUGUGGGAAAUAGUCUACAGUUUGGAAGACACCAGAGAAAAAUGCUCCACAGCUCGCCCUGGUGACUCACUACAACUUAUGGGAAGAUGUGAGAUUAUUCUGUAUUCUAAUGUAUGUUAGAAGGCACACUCCACCCAAAGCCUUCCUGUGUGUUCCUCCCUGUGAGCUCACAUCCCGUUCACCAGCUGACUGGGAAGGGAAGUCAGGACCAGCCCUGACCCCAUCACACCAUCAUAACCUCGGGAUGGCAGGGCUGGAAGGCACCUCAGACGUCAUCCUUUGCAGACUCUUCAUUUUACAGUGAGAGGCAUGACGUGUCCACAGCUGGUUAGUGCCAAAGCCUGGGACAGGCUUCACAUUGUCCAGCUCUUAGUCAGAGCACUGUUGACAAUGUCUGCCUUCACUUGGAAUUCAGCACCUGCUUUCAGUAUAAACCCCUGCAUUUCACUAAAACUGAGCAGACUGCUGGUUUAAAAAAGAGAGGUCCAUCCAGCAGGGAUGAUGCUUUUCCUCGUUGAAAGAGGACAUUCACCUAAUGGGAGACCUGGAGUCAGAAUCUUUCUGAUGUGUGACUUGGCACAGUAACACAAUGCAGGAUGCUGGUGUGUUAAUAAAAAUAAAAAUUGCAUCGCCUACCUCAGAGUCGACAACAAUGUCAAGGAGUUAAUAGUCUUGGCAACACAGAGGCCACUGGACAGAGGCAUAACCUUGCGUGGCAGCUGCACGGGAAUUGGAUUUGGCUCAGGUGUUUCAGAUGACUAAGUUGGGAGCAUUUGACAAUUUUAGAUGUGGGAUGAAAAUUGCCUUAUCUAAGACAUAGGGCACCUGCAGAAGUAAAGAGAAACAGAACAAAGGGGACCACUCUUGGUAUAGAAGUUCAUCUCGUCGGGAGCAUCUGUGGUUCUUUUAUAAGCAAUGUACAUUCUACAAUAGAGGCAGACCCAGAAAUAAUUCAGAUAUUGGAGUUAGAAGAUCAGGAUUCUAAAAAAACCAAAAGAUCCUGCCUUACUAUGCACCUAUGGCCCUUCAAAGGCGAGAGUAGAAUCUGCUAUGAUUUAGAAGCAAGCAAUAAAAAGUACACAUCAGGUGAGUGGAUGCUAGCUAAGACCUUGGGCUUUGGGGUCAGACAGGCCUGGGUUUAAAUCCUGGCCCUGUCAUUCUGGGGAAACAUGUUUCUGCUUUCUCCUAUAUGAAAUAGAGGCAGUGGGUAUCCUGAACAUGUCACCUUUACUUGUCCAGCUUGUCAGUUAGGGUUUGGUUAGGGAAACAGAGCUGCUGUAAACAUUAUGGGAAUAAGGGAUUUUAUUCAGAAUUGGAGCCUGCACAGAUGUAGAAGGAGGCAUGAAGAGGGUAUUGGAGGAUUGCCCACUAUGCAGUCUGCAUCCUGAGUCUGUGGUGAGGCUGGACACGUUCAAGCUUACAGGAGAACUGGAGAAAGCAAGCAACACAGCGGUGGAAGUGAGACCACUGAAGCAGGGACAAGAGUGGAGGAGACAAACUGGACUCGGAACAAACUGGGAGCCUCUGCAUCCAUCCGUAACUGUCUGGCCGUGACAGUGGUUAGAGAGGAGUGGCUUCUGUGAAACUCUCACAAUCUCAAAUCUCCCACAAGUGCCUCUUUCAGCUAACUCUAAACUGGUACCAUAGAGGAAAUGGAUUCUGAAAACUUGGUCUCCAACCUUAGACAAAUUGAAUAAUUAAUAUGUCCUCUCCUGCUUCUUCUGUAACUGAAUUUGCAUUGGGAAGCAGGCCUGUCACUCUCAGACUUUGUGGUUUGAGUAGGGCUCACUUCAGCACCACCUUUUCCUCUUCUCAGCCCCACGGACUGGCAUGAGACUCAGGCCUGGCCAACUGAAUGUCACACACCUAUGACCAUCAGUUGGCUCAGAGAUGGACUCAGGACACCAUCACAGCCAAUGAAACCCUGUUAGGGAAAUUUGUCAGAACCAUACAAAGAAAUAGCUCCACUUUUCCAUAGAGAUGAGACAUAAGCCUGGACUAACUGGUGUCCAAUUUGCCAUCAAGAGAGCAUCUGAGAAGACAGAGGAAAACUGGGGAAAGCGAAGUCUAAGGAAGGUGAGUAAGGACAAGUCCAGUUGAUAUUACAUGAAUCACCUGGACCUGGAAAUCAAGGCAUUGCUGGAUUCAAGGCCAAGAAAAAUUGGAAGCUGGCUUGAAUCAGGUUCUAUCACUUGCAGUUGAAAAGGUCCAGACUAAUAUGAUAACAAAGGAGCAAGUAAGCAAGAUUCUGCCCUACAGUAAGUGCUCAAUGCAUGUCAGCUGGUAUUAUUAUUAUACAGACUUCUAUUUCUAGCCCUUUUAUUUCUACCACCUCUCUUCUGUGUUUUAUGUAAAGUGCAUAAGGAUUGUUCUGUUUGGAAACAUCAAACCAUAUAAAAUGACACCAGCAGGUCCCUUUCUGUCUGUCAGUGUCCACAAGCUCAACAACCAGGAUCAGCAGACAAAAACAGCUAAGCUGGAGUCAGUGUUUUUAUGAAGAAACAGGAAAAGAACUUACUUGGGAACUGUAGCUCAUCCUCCAAUAUUCUCCAUCCUAUCACUCUUUUCAUGACAGUUUCUUCUUGGCCCUGAAGUUGCCUUGUCAUGGCUCCCUGCCUCUGUCCUUUCUCUGUCUCACUUACAUCUUCCAAUGAGGAAUACAGCAAGACCUUUGGAUGAGGACCUCCAAAGGUCCUCAGUAUCCUUAGGACACUCGGUGCAGAACUAGAGGGACUGAGAGGAGGAGCUUUUGCAGGUUAAAUGACUAGUGAAUGGCCUUUCCUUAUAUUUCCAUUAGAAAUGGGAUUAGCUACACCUGAGAAGGAAUGACUUUGGAACAACUGAUCCCUAGCUUUCCAAAAUAUGAGAAAUUGAGAUGCAGGGAGUAGUAAGCACCUAGUUAAUGAGUCAAAGCAUAUUUAUAAAGUUCACAGGGUACAUAGCAUAUAGCAGCUGUUCUCUAUCUCAGUUGAGUUUUGACUAGGAAAUGGGCUUAGGAUAAAACACAUAGGCUUUUGAGUAAUCAUUUGUAAGAAAUUGUAGAUAGUGACCACAGUUUAAUAGCAUUAGAUAAAUUAUGAAAAGUCACUGAAAUACCUUCUCUGGAAAAUGUUAGAAGCUCAAGUACAAUGGCUUAGUUAAAGGCAGGUGGGGGAGAAACUUGAAGAAUGUGGUCCAGUACAAGAAUACCCCAUUUUUCCCCUAAGGCAAUGAAAAUGACAUGAAGUAAUCAUAGUUAUUUAUACAGGAACAAUUUAGGAGACUUAGAAUAUUCACUUCUUUUGCCUUCUAGCUGAGCAUCAAAAUUCUCUCUCUGUCUCUGCCUCUCUCUCUCUAUUUUCCACUUCUAGCUCCAACUAUUUUAAAUCCCUCCCCCAAUAGAACUCAUAACAAACAUAAAACAACAUUUGUUGUAUGUUUACAAUAGAUGUUCAAGCUAAUAUUUAUGUAGGCUUAGCCCUGGCAUUAAAUUAAGGUUUGGUUCACCAACAGGGUGCCUAGAGACUUCACCUCUAUUUCCAUGAGGGACUGAACAGCCUCUUGAGAAGGGACUCAUCAAAAUGGAAGAGUUGGCAAUAAGAAGUUUGGCUAAAUAACCAAGCACUGAAGUUGCAGAGGAGAAAGGAUUUGAAAGGCAGUACAGUGUCCAGGGGCAAGUUGGCAAUUUUUAGCAGGAGGUGAAGUGAUGCCAGCAGAGGUAACAGUGCUCAGAGGGACCAGUAGUCCCCAGGAGGAGCAGGGGAAUCCCCAGUGGAUCUGAUUUGUUCAAGAGCACAUGUGAGAUUAUCAGCUGGCGUUACAAUUUUGGAGUGGCAGUGAGAAGCAGUGAAUUUGAGGUCACUCAAUUUGCAGACCCCAAAGGGUGAAAUGUUGAGAAACAUGAGUUACACAUGUAUUUAACAGCUCUUGUGUAUUAUCACAAAUCCUAUUUCACCUCUCAUGCCCCCGAGGCUUUGGUGUCCAGUUCUCUGAAGACUUCAUCAAUCCUCAGCCAUAAAUCACCUGAGAGCAACUCACCUUGCUUCAUACUAUGAAGCUCCCUGAUGUCACAGCAUGGCAGGCCUGUGGCAACCCCUCAACACUUAUGCAUGAUCCCAAACAGCUAGAGGAUUAACACCUACGGUGUAACCCUUGACCAGCAGGAAAUGGAAAUUACUGUCUUUUUGUCCCCGCAGGUGAAUGGUUCUAAAAUGCAUUUUAUAAGCCUUCUGAAAUAGUCCCACAGGUCAAGCACCUACUUGCUCCAGUGGUGACCAACUCAAUGAUGCAUCCUUGGGUUGACUCUCCCUCCUUUCCAGUUCACUUUCCCCGCCCCUCACUCCUGCACCUCAGCAUCACAUUCCUGAAUAAACCACUCACACAUCUGUCUUAUUUCAGACUCUGUUUGGGGGAAUCCACAAUAAAAAUUUGUCAUUUUGAGUUAAACAUUGCUCUCACCUUGAAGACAUAUUUCCAUACCUAGAGAUUUCUGAAGUUCUCUCCCUUUUCCUAUCAUCUCCUUUGUGCUUUGUCUGACCUCCAUGUUACAGAGCCCCAUGAUAUUUAGAGCCAGUACUGCUAGGGAAGUAGUUCAGUUGUGUUUUAAAUGGUUCAGCAACUUGUAACAUCAACUGAGAACCAGAGGAAUACACUUGGAGGCCAAGAAAAAAAUGUUAGCUAAUAUGUACCAUACAGUAUGAUUCCUUGGGUAAGGGAAAGUAUAUGCAAGUGACAGAGGAAAAUUGAAAGUUGUAGCCCUUUUUUGGACUUUAGAUUUGGAAUUAAAGUUUCUCUUCUCUUGAAAGACCUUCUUUUUGUGGAUAAUGAUGAAUCUGAAGACCAGAACAGUGGGCCAAUUUGCCUUAGUUGAGAGUGGCAAAUAAAUGAAGAACUGAAGAACGUAUCUCUUUAACUAGUGCUCCUUUGUUGAGAAGAUACAAAACAAACAAUUGAAGGGUAUGGAUGAAGCCAUUGGCUUAUUCAUGUCUCUGUUGAUCAUAAUGAGAUUAAUAUAUAUAGGACAUUCACACAAAGAGGAUAUUGACUCGAUGGCUUACAGAUUAUUAGAGUUAGAAAUGUGACCUACUACUAAAGGAAGAAUGUUUCAGGUGUGGAUCUCUGAUUUAAAAAAUACACCACACUUGCCUCAGUGAAGCAAGUCAACUUAGGUGCUGAUACAAUGCCACUGCAGCUGUGCUGAGUUCAUGAAAUCAGAUCCCACUCUCUUCACCUACCCCUACCGUAUUCAUCCUACUUUCCGUCUGCUCUGCCCUUCCCAUUUGGUAACCUAGUCAUGAAACACCUGGCUCUGGGUCCUUCCUUCAGCAUCACUCCACGUUGUACUGCUGGCAUCGCUUUUCUUGGCACAGAACCUCUUAGGGCUGCUAUCCUAGGAGUAGGUGCUACUCAGGCUGGCUUAGUCCCAGGCUUCACUCACUUCUUGGCCCAUGGCCAGGAGGACCGGAAAGAACAAACUCUCUGCACAUCUCUGCAGGUGGCCACAGAGCCCCCAUCUGAGCCUUGCUGAUGGAGAAGAGCAUGCUGCAUCACAAGAUAACUGUGUGGCUCUGUUCAAAAACCUUGUUUAGAAGUUAUUAUUUCUUUUAUUGCAUUAGAAUUUGCCUCACUGUAGCUUUUGUGCUUCUGUCCUGGUUCAGCCUUAGAUAGCAGUGCAGCCUGGUCCAUGUGAAAGCUCUUGCAAUAGGCCUUUCUGCUAGUCAGGAGUUCUCAGACCCAUCCCUACUCUUCACUUUUCUCAAGACUAAUAUCAGACUCCUGGGCUCUUCAAGGUUUCCUCAUAUGAUAAAAGUUCUAAGCCCUCCAUUGUCCUAGUCACUGUCCUCUCUGUUCCAUCCCUGUCUGCCCUUCCAAGAUGCUGCACCUGGAGAUGAAUUUGUCCUUCCUGGGGCAAGUCACCAUGAGAUGAUUACUUUUGGAUCAUACUGAAUUUGUGGGUUAAAUAAACUCAUAGGUCUUUAUCUCAUGCACUAAAUCCAAAUUCGAUCUCUUGCCGUAAAUCAUUUUUUUGAAUAGCUGAACAAUAAGUAAAUAAUACACAAAUGAAAACUAAUCAAUAUUUGAACAUCCUCAGUAUUUUCAGCCCUAGUUUGAGCCAGACAUAGCUCAUCUUGUAUACUUCACUAAGGACACUUUAUACGAUCAAGCAAUUAAUAUUAUGAUGUCAUGUCUCGCAAGCCCCAUAGUGUCACUUCCAGUCUCUUCACCACAAAGAACGUUGAAGCCUUCGUAUUUUUUUGAAAAUCAUAUUUCUAGCUGCAGGAUGGGAUGUAAGAAAAGUUCAGAUUAGGAUUAUUCUAGGCUCCUGACUAUAACUAAAAUCCUGAUUUUUUAUGGAAAGGAAUGAGGAUCAUUCCUUCAAAUUAGAUUUUUGUGAUAAAAAGAAAAAAGUUGGUAAUCUAUUCAAAAUUGUAACAAAAAUAACUGCAUUUUUCUUUGGAAAAUAAUAGUUGAUUCCUUUUUGCUUUUUUUACUUAUGAAUUGGGGUGCAAUAGAGUUUAAUAAAAAUGAUGUGAAACACUCUUAUAAGGCUAAUUUAUCACAUUUGCUUCAAGGAAUUGUCCUUUCUAACAAAAUUGUGAAAUGGAACUGAACAGUAGCAUGAUGAGGCCUCUACCAGGAGGAGGUACAGAACAAGGCAGGAGGUCAGUGGUUAAAGGACUCCUUGCUUAUGCUCAAGAAAUGUGGACCUUAUUAGAGGUGACACAGUGAAAUCAGUCACCUGAUUUCGCAGGUGACUGUGGAGCAAGAAUGCAAAUCCACAAUAUUAGGAUGAAUGUGAGAGGAGAAGGGAAGGAGGCCAUGAGGGAAAAAAGGACAUCUAAUUGGGUCUGAAAGGAAGGGUAGAAUUUAAGUAAAGAGCACUGUGUACAUAUGGGAAUACCAUGUACUUUCUCAUGGAGAGAGGCCUUCUGACAGUCCUGCAUUGAUCCUGCUUCUUUGACCAUCCCUUGUUAGCCAGCAGGUCAUUUGGCCUCACUAGUUGCCUCAGUGCUGAGUGAUAGACUCAGCAGUCCCCAGCCUCUUUGGCACCAGGGACUGGUUUUGUGGAAGAUAAUUUUUCCAUGGAUCAGGGAGAGGAUGGUUUCAGGAGGAUUUAAGUGCAUUACAUUUACUGCGCACUUUAUUUCUAAUAUUAUUACAUUGUAAUCUAUAAUGAAAUAAUUAUACAAUUCACCAUAAUGUAGAAUCAGUGGGUGCCCUGAGCUUGUUUUCCUGCAACUAGAUGGUCCCAUCUGGGGGUGAUGGGAGACAGUGACAGAUCAUCAGGCAUUAGAUUCUCAUAAGGAAUGCACAACCUAGAUUCUUCACAUGUGCAGUUCACCAUGAGGUUCACGCUCCUAUGAGAAGCUAAUGCCUCCGCUUAAACGACACAGGAGAUGGAGCUCAGGUAGUAAUGAGUGAAAUGGGGAGCAGCUGUCAAUACAGAUGAAGCUUUGCUUGCUUGCUUGCCGCUCACCACCUGCUGUGCAGCCUGGUUCCUAACUGGUACUGGUCAGUGGCCUGUGGUUGGGAACUCCUGGUAGACUAACAACAGAACAAAGCCAAGUCUCAAGGAGAGACAGUUGUAUAGAUGCCUUCCUGCCCAUUCUCUGUUGUGGGGGCCAAAUCACACAAGACCUGCAUUUAAUUCUUUAUGGGCUUAGGCUGUGAAUUAAUGUAAAAUCUCAAGAAACCAAGAUGACAGGCCAGGGACUAAAGAGCAAAAGAAAGACCACAGCUAUGGUGGGCGAGGAGACAAAGUCAAUCCCACCGGGACAGAUGGUGAUGACCCUUAUCAGUUCUAUUCUGUCAUCUCAUAAAGGUAAAGACUUGUGUUCUUUUUCUUAGGACAGUCCAGAUGGUAUUGGCUGUGCUUAAAGAAAAUUCAGACAUGUGUGAGUGUGGCUGGAAUUGACAUUCAUGAGGUCUUCCGUUUUUAUUUGAAAGGGGCAGAGUAAGUAUUUGUGAACAUUGGAUGGUGAUGAAGAAAAGGAAAUGGUGUCUAGUAUCCUACCUGGCCUCAUGGACCAAGACUAGAAGGAUUAGAGGCAAAGUCGAAGGAAGCUGCCACCAUAAAGGGUUCUGUGAAUGCUGUUUGGCUGAAAUGUGUGACAAAGCACUGGGAAGGGUUUCAUUGCAUUAGCUCAGGCCAUAGCACGACCCUUAACCAACACCUUAAGGUGAUGGUCCCCUUGGCAUAAAUAUUGGUGUUAAAAUCGAGGUUAACCUUAGUGAUAGUAUGGUUAAGAGUCCCCUGCAUGACUUUGGAAGUUGAAGAUGCUGAUCAGGAGAACUAGAGCAGGAAAGAGAAAAUAUGACUGAGGCUAAGUGGUGACUUGGUAUUGACUGAUAGGUGAACACAGGAAUGAAUUUCAGCGAGAACCCCCAGUAACUGUCUGGGGAGUGGAGACUGUGUAUGAACAGGACAGAAAAAAAAGCAGAUUCGGGUAGUGUCCUGUCGUGUGUCUCUUUUACAGUCCUGAAAUGAAGGACUUUCAGUGUUUUCAUUGAGCACCAAUCAAUUCCCUCUUUACAAAAGACCAUAUUGGAACAGCAUCAAGGUUUAGGGAUAUUAAAGCAAUACAGUGACACUGGAAUGACCACUGAGAACCAGCGAACUUCUUCAGCCCUUAUAUCCUCAGGCACUCUGGAAGCCAUGAAUCUGGUUUUCUUGCUAAACUGUGUGUACUGCACAGAGUACAAUGGUAAAGGAACAAAUAUUGGCUCUAAAAUCUCUUGUAAAGGGAAGGGUGGUCAUCCCUUUAGAUGGCAAAUUGAGUUUCUGUAAUGGGGUUUGCUCUGAUGUUGCAUUUCCACUCAGGCAUCAAGACAUUCUGUUGUUUAAAGCCCUAGAUGGGUGAUAUUUCUUUCAUGUGCAAGGCCCGAAUGCUUCACUGAGCUCUCUCUUACCCACACACACUCAUUUAAACCUUGGUCAAAAUUAUCCUUUAGCAUCUGCAUCUUCUCAGAAGGCGGAAGGGUCAAUGGGGAUAAUCAGGAGAGAUGAGGUGCACUUUCAGAAGUUGGAGCUGAGAAGGUGAUGGAAGUAUCUGUAAAGUCGUUGAACAGCUGCACGAACUAUAGGGGAAGCAUUUCUGGAGGCAAAAGGGGAAUAGCCCUUUCCUCUUAAACCAAAGCGAGCACAGCUCCAAAGGCACUUAGAUGGAGAGUUCAUCGGAAUGUGAGCUCUAAGAGUGGCUGAGAAUCUGACAAAAACAGCCAUCUGCCAACCCAAAAUUAAAACUCCUCUGUUUAGCACCCAGUAGAGAAAGUCAACCAGAUUGACUUCGCAAACAAAGGACCUUAAAAGCAUCACCUAAGAAAGUGUGUCAGGAUCCACAGACAUCCAGAGCAUUCUCUAUGGUUCAUUACUUACAUUAUUCUUAUCUAUUUACACAUAAUGUUUAGAUGUAAAAUCCUUACAAUGAAAAGGGUGUAUAUGCUUUAAAAAAGGCACAACAGGGAUCUAGAACUAGAAAUACCAUUUGACCCAGCCAUCCCAUUACUGGGUAUAUACCCAAAUGAGUAUAAAUCAUGCUGCUAUAAAG